UGCAGUCGAACGGUAACAGGAAACAGCUUGCUGCUUCGCUGACGAGUGGCGGACGGGUGAGUAAUGUCUGGGAAACUGCCUGAUGGAGGGGGAUAACUACUGGAAACGGUAGCUAAUACCGCAUAACGUCGCAAGACCAAAGAGGGGGACCUUCGGGCCUCUUGCCAUCGGAUGUGCCCAGAUGGGAUUAGCUAGUAGGUGGGGUAACGGCUCACCUAGGCGACGAUCCCUAGCUGGUCUGAGAGGAUGACCAGCCACACUGGAACUGAGACACGGUCCAGACUCCUACGGGAGGCAGCAGUGGGGAAUAUUGCACAAUGGGCGCAAGCCUGAUGCAGCCAUGCCGCGUGUAUGAAGAAGGCCUUCGGGUUGUAAAGUACUUUCAGCGGGGAGGAAGGGAGUAAAGUUAAUACCUUUGCUCAUUGACGUUACCCGCAGAAGAAGCACCGGCUAACUCCGUGCCAGCAGCCGCGGUAAUACGGAGGGUGCAAGCGUUAAUCGGAAUUACUGGGCGUAAAGCGCACGCAGGCGGAUUGUUAAGUCAGAUGUGAAAUCCCCGGGCUCAACCUGGGAACUGCAUCUGAAACCGUCAAGCUUGAGUCUCAAUACAGGGGGGUACAAUUCCAUGUGUAGAGAUCUGAAGG
This 644-nucleotide ribosomal RNA is filed under the name Shigella sonnei. RNAcentral's name for it is "bacterial SSU rRNA". It matches the Rfam family "Bacterial small subunit ribosomal RNA", at positions 56 to 694 of the family's 1533-position model. Lineage: Bacteria; Pseudomonadati; Pseudomonadota; Gammaproteobacteria; Enterobacterales; Enterobacteriaceae. The record is from RNAcentral.